This is a non-coding RNA of Gekko japonicus, 323 nucleotides long. NCBI's taxonomy places the organism in Eukaryota, Metazoa, Chordata, Lepidosauria, Squamata, Gekkonidae. The record is from the annotation of a RefSeq genome assembly.
GUGUCCUCUCAGAGGUCCAGCUGGUGGAGUCCGGAGGAGAUGUCAAAAGGCCCGGAGAGUCCCUCCAUCUCUCCUGUCGAGCCUCCGGGUUCAACUUUGGAGGCUCUGACAUGAACUGGGUGAGGCAGGCUCCCGGGAAGAUCCCAGAAUGGGUGGCAUUUAUAAGGUAUGAUAGAAGCUUCCAAUACUAUUCUGGCUCAGUGCGAGGACGUUUCACCGUCUCCAGGGACAACCCUUCCAGCAUGGUGUAUCUUCAAAUUGACAGCCUGAAACUUGAAGACUCGGCCAUGUAUUACUGUGCUACCCACAGUGAAACAAAGUGA